Molecule: ribosomal RNA, 490 nt
Filed under: uncultured bacterium
Lineage: Bacteria
Description: partial 16S ribosomal RNA
Rfam family: Bacterial small subunit ribosomal RNA
Source: RNAcentral
GAUGAACGCUAGCUACAGGCUUAACACAUGCAAGUCGAGGGGCAGCAUGGUCUUAGCUUGCUAAGGCCGAUGGCGACCGGCGCACGGGUGAGUAACACGUAUCCAACCUGCCGUCUACUCUUGGACAGCCUUCUGAAAGGAAGAUUAAUACAAGAUGGCAUCAUGGGUCCGCAUGUUCACAUGAUUAAAGGUAUUCCGGUAGACGAUGGGGAUGCGUUCCAUUAGAUAGUAGGCGGGGUAACGGCCCACCUAGUCUUCGAUGGAUAGGGGUUCUGAGAGGAAGGUCCCCCACAUUGGAACUGAGACACGGUCCAAACUCCUACGGGAGGCAGCAGUGAGGAAUAUUGGUCAAUGGGCGAGAGCCUGAACCAGCCAAGUAGCGUGAAGGAUGACUGCCCUAUGGGUUGUAAACUUCUUUUAUAAAGGAAUAAAGUCGGGUAUGGAUACCCGUUUGCAUGUACUUUAUGAAUAAGGAUCGGCUAACUCCGUG